Molecule: long non-coding RNA, 1881 nt
Organism: Bubalus bubalis (water buffalo)
Lineage: Eukaryota; Metazoa; Chordata; Mammalia; Artiodactyla; Bovidae
Exons: 5
Source: RefSeq, a predicted model, not a curated record
UGGUGUGCUAUAGUCCAUGGGGUUGCGAAGAGUCUGACAUGACUUAGCAACUAAACAACAACCAGGAGAAAAUCAAUCUAGUCCCACAUAUUCACAUCUGAUGUUAUUUACAGGAAGAUCAUACACAUUUAAAACACUAGUAGGACAGUCACUUCUGGAAGUGCUAACAACUUUCUAAGCAAUAUAAGUCAUCAAGAAUAAAAGCAGGUUUGACUUCAUAAAAACGUAAAACAUCUGCACAUUUGGAAAACACCUUAAACAGACUAUUAAUGCAAAUUAAUGAAAGAUACUGAGAAAAAAAUAAAAAUAGUUUUGACAUUGGAACUAUCUACAUGCUUUACAUAAUUAAAAUAAAAUUAAAACUAAAAGACACGGAAAUCCCCAAAUACUGAUUUCAACUAACCCAAAAGAUGGGACAACCUGAAACCCAAAGUUUCAAAAACUGAAAUGAAUUGAAACAAACAAAUUACAUAAAAACCCUUGAGUUAAUGUUUCUUCAGCUCUGAAAAAUAAUCUUCUCUGACUUUGAAUGGCCUUCCAUCUACUGCCUUUGUUCCUUCCAUUACAAAACUCUCUAGACAGAUGUAGUAGCUUCUGGAAAUUCUUUAUAUCUUUGUCCUGUUUUGAAAGAGUUCCUCAGCUGAAUGUUGCAGCUCAUUAAAAUAAUAUUCAUCUGUGCCCAUGUCUGGCCAGGCCACUCCAGAUGGCUGUUUUCUUGCCCUCUGUACAUCCCCUGCCUGAUCAGUGCCUGUUUCACCUACGCCCUACUCACAGGACUGAACUGCCUACCUGCCCCAGGCCCCAGCUGAUGGUUGUUCUUAUCAAAGAGGCAGUGAGGGGUGGCCCCUCUGCUGGUCUCCUUGGUAACUAAUGAGCCCACCUGACAUCAGUUCCCCUAUCUUCGGCGAUUUCUGCCCUGGAGUGCAGAAGGUCUCCAUGUCCUACCCACCCUCAGCCGCACACGGUGAGGUGCUGCUCCAGGACUUUGCUGCAGACAAGGAGUUGGAGUGAACACAGAAAUACAAGACACUAGAAGUGGGGUCAAGUCCACACAGAAGUAGCCCACACAGUCAUCAGAUGAGUCAUCUGUGUUCUGAAGGAACUGUGCCGCCUAAUAGCACCACCUGAAGACUCUCUGCCAGAUGGCAGAACCCUCCAUCAGAUGGUGACUGCACCCAUGAAAUUAAAAGACUUCACAUUCCAGGAUUUCUGGCUCUAGAUAAAUGUGGAACCCAGCCCUCCUCAAGCCUGUUGCAGGGUCAUGGUGCGCCCUCUGGUGGCCAGUCUUUCAAUGGCCUCACCCGCCCUGUUGAGCAAACUGAAGGCACUCUCUCCUGGUACCUAAGAUGAAAGCGCCCAAGGUACAAGAGCAGCUGGAACAAGCAUUGCUGCCUGCAGGCGUUCCUGUCCACCAGCCACGUGUCAGUGGGCGGCCUCCGGAACCAGCCCUGCUGUGUAUGUGCAGGCGGUUCCUGGUGGGGGUGGGGAGGUCGGGGCCAUUUGGAUGCUCCUGUUCACAGAGCUCCUCCUGAAUCUUUCUUACCCCCCAGGGGAGCGUGCGCAGGAAGUCAGGGACUCAGCACGUUGAAAUGGAUCUGGGAAGGCACACAGUCCAAAUCUCUGCAUCCCUUCCUUCCCAUCUGUGGCUUUAAUCUCCUUCACAGCAUCUCAAUGAAGUGGUCAUUCACCCUCUGCUUAAACGUAGCCAGUGUCCAAAACUCUUAGAGGCCCCCUCCAUUUUCAAACCUCUUAAAUCAUUUGAACAUUUUUUCCUCUUACGAACACAUGUGCUAAGUCGCUUCAGUUGUGUUUGACUUUGUGAGACCCUAUGACUGUAGCCUGCCAGGCGCCUCUAUCCAUGGGAUUCUCCAGGCACAAAUA